AUGGUGAUGGUCGGUGAUGUAAGCCGUGUGGCACAAACAAAAAAUCAUAGAUCGAUGGUCAGCGGCAACGACUGCCAUAGAAAAAUCAAGAAAGUAGAUGAAAAUCAAAGCAAAAAUAGAAAAAUCAAUCUGAUCUCCUUUUUAACAAAAUCAAGUGAUUCGCUGGUUGCUACUUUUUAACAAAGUAGAUGAAAAUCACUUGAUUUUGUUGGAAAAGUCAGAUAAUAGAUG
This 231-nucleotide long non-coding RNA is filed under the name Elaeis guineensis (African oil palm). Its description in RNAcentral is "long non-coding RNA (EGUI_LNC071519)". The record is from RNAcentral. Lineage: Eukaryota; Viridiplantae; Streptophyta; Magnoliopsida; Arecales; Arecaceae.